Pecten maximus is the source of this 1881-nucleotide long non-coding RNA. RefSeq lists it as uncharacterized. The transcript has 2 exons. The record is from RefSeq and is a predicted model, not a curated record. Lineage: Eukaryota; Metazoa; Mollusca; Bivalvia; Pectinida; Pectinidae.
GACUGAUGGGUGGGGCCAAAAAGGGUCAAUUUAGUUGACCGAAAUAUUUCAAAUCUCAGGUGACCGUUAAGGCCCUUUGGGCCUCUUGUUUUUAAAUAAAUGGUUGUAUGAUGGUUUUUUGUGUUUUCAAAAUCUGCCAUAUUUCUAGGGUUAAGGUCUAAUCGUGAGAUGUUAUAUUACUUUACAUGCAAAAGGAACAGUUUACAGUUACUGUGGCAUGUACAUAAGGUUGAAUUUUAGCUGAUAGUGUAUACUUCUUGGUCAGUGGUAGGUUGUCAUACCAGAUACCCGUACUUAUAUCUUUGGUCAGUCGUUGGUUGUCACACCAGAUACCCGUGCUUUGGUCAGUCGUAGGUUGUCACACCAGAUACUCGUACUUAUAUCUUUGGUCAGUCGUAGGUUGUCACAACAGAUACUCGUGCUUUGGUCAGUGGUAGGUUGUCACACCAGAUACCCGUACUUAUAUCUUUGGUCAGUCGUAGGUUGUCACAACAGAUACUCGUGCUUUGGUCAGUGGUAGGUUGUCACACCAGAUACCCGUACUUAUAUCUUUGGUCAGUGGUAGGUUGUCACACCAGAUACCCGUACUUAUAUCUUUGGUCAGUCGUAGGUUUUCACACCAGAUACCCGUACUUAUAUCUUUGGUCAGUGGUAGGUUGUCACACCAGAUACUCGUGCUUUGGUCAGUCGUAGGUUGUCACACCAGAUACUCGUACUUAUAUCUUUGGUCAGUCGUAGGUUGUCACACCAGAUACCCGUACUUAUAUCUUUGGUCAGUGGUAGGUUGUCACACCAGAUACUCGUACUUAUAUCUUUGGUCAGUCGUAGGUUGUCACACCAGAUACUCGUGCUUUAGUCAGUCGUAGGUUGUCACACCAGAUACUCGUACUUAUAUCUUUGGUCAGUGGUAGGUUGUCACACCAGAUACCCGUACUUAUAUCUUUGGUCAGUCGUAGGUUGUCACACCAGAUACCCGUACUUAUAUCUUUGGUCAGUCGUAGGUUGUCACACCAGAUACCCGUACUUAUUUCUUGUCAGGGCCCUCAGCUGCAGCAGGAAUAUGUUCCCCUCUUCCAUAUCAUUCCUUAAUUUGUAUUUUGACAGUUAUCAGUAAAAACAUACAUAAGAUUUAUGACUAUAAAUCAAAGCCAGUUUUAAUAAAAUUAUAUAUUAAUUAUUCUUCUGAGCUUUGAAUAUAUUUAUCAGUACUUAUUAUUUAGUUUGAUAACAAAUUUUACAACCGCUAGACCUUCCAGCAAAUGGACAUAUCCUGGUUUUCCUGGUUUCCGCAGUCCUAGGUAAAAAUCACAAUCUCGUUUAUUAUAAGAAAGUAAUAUAAUAGCAAUGAUCACACAAGGCUGAGGAUGCCUCAGAUCUGAUAUAUGAAGAGACCAGAGAGAGUGCAUAAAAAACCAAGGUUGUAUGGUAUGUUUAAGGUUUUGACUUUUGAAGGAAUUAAACCCCCGCUGACUUGUCAAAAUGUGAGUGCUCUAACCAUUGCGCCACAGGACCACCUGUAACCUUACCUGAUUUUGAAUAACCACAGAAUAUAUAAGUAAAUAUAUUUUCUUGUACAAUUUAUCUGUUGUGAAUGAGUUGGCAUACUAUUUCUCUACUAUAAUUGUAAAGAAGUGUAUAAAAUAUUUUAGUGCUUAAUUUUACUGUACACAAUGCUAGCAAUUUAGUUUCAUUGUUUUUUUUUUUUUGCAUAAUUAAAAGUGAUUCAAAAUAUCUGUGAUAAAAAUAACCUUGAUACAACAGGAAUAUCGAGGAUUAUCAAUUCUUAAUUCGAAAUAUUGUAUAGUUGGUAAUAUCCAUGGUGGAUUUAAUGUUUAGCUGUCGUUAUAAAUCAGCACAAAAAUAAAUACUCCAUGUACAGAA